Molecule: transfer RNA, 85 nt
Filed under: Felis catus (domestic cat)
Lineage: Eukaryota; Metazoa; Chordata; Mammalia; Carnivora; Felidae
Rfam family: tRNA
About the family: Transfer RNA (tRNA) molecules are approximately 80 nucleotides in length. Their secondary structure includes four short double-helical elements and three loops (D, anti-codon, and T loops).
Source: Rfam by way of RNAcentral
GCCUGGGUGGCUUAGUCGGUUAAGCAUCUGACUUCAGCUCAGGUGAUGAUCUCACGGUUCAUGGGUUCGAGCCCUGCGUCGGGCU